GUAACACGUGGGUAACCUGCCCAUCAGAAGGGGAUAACACUUGGAAACAGGUGCUAAUACCGUAUAACAAUCAAAACCGCAUGGUUUUGAUUUGAAAGGCGCUUUCGGGUGUCGCUGAUGGAUGGACCCGCGGUGCAUUAGCUAGUUGGUGAGGUAACGGCUCACCAAGGGCACGAUGCAUAGCCGACCUGAGAGGGUGAUCGGCCACAUUGGGACUGAGACACGGCCCAAACUCCUACGGGAGGCAGCAGUAGGGAAUCUUCGGCAAUGGACGAAAGUCUGACCGAGCAACGCCGCGUGAGUGAAGAAGGUUUUCGGAUCGUAAAACUCUGUUGUUAGAGAAUAACAAGGAUGAGAGUAACUGUUCAUCCCUUGACGGUAUCUAACCAGCAAGCCACGGCUAACUACGUGCCAGCAGCCGCGGUAAUACGUAGGUGGCAAGCGUUGUCCGGAUUUAUUGGGCGUAAAGCGAGCGCAGGCGGUUUCUUAAGUCUGAUGUGAAAGCCCCCGGCUCAACCGGGGAGGGUCAUUGGAAACUGGGAGACUUGAGUGCAGAAGAGGAGAGUGGAAUUCCAUGUGUAGCGGUGAAAUGCGUAGAUAUAUGGAGGAACACCAGUGGCGAAGGCGGCUCUCUGGUCUG
RNAcentral lists this ribosomal RNA (640 nucleotides) under Enterococcus faecium. Its description in RNAcentral is "bacterial SSU rRNA". It matches the Rfam family "Bacterial small subunit ribosomal RNA", at positions 110 to 736 of the family's 1533-position model. The record is from RNAcentral. Lineage: Bacteria; Bacillati; Bacillota; Bacilli; Lactobacillales; Enterococcaceae.